GGGCCAGCUGUUCUGUCACAGUCAUCUGGGAUCCCCAGUGUCCAGCAGCUGCUCAAGUCAAGGAACUGAUGAAUUCAACUGAUGAGUGAAUGGAAGGAUUUUUGUUCCUGUUUGAGAUAGAGAAAAUGGAAUAAUACAAGUAGGAACUCAAUGCUCUUUCACCUAGAUCAAAGACCUUUGGAACACAAGAAAGAACAAGACAGAUGGAAGCCCUUGCUCUCCUUGGAGCCAUCCAUUUUAGUGUGGAAAGACAGACAACAAAGAAGGUAAGUAAAGAACAUAGUAUAUUAAAAGGCAGUAAGUGCUACAGAGAAAAACAAAGCAGGAAAGAGGGAUGGCACUGGGAUAGGCUGGCAGUCUUAAACAGUGUAG
This 372-nucleotide long non-coding RNA is filed under the name Equus caballus (horse). Its description in RNAcentral is "lncRNA (ENSECAG00000054700.1)". The record is from RNAcentral. Lineage: Eukaryota; Metazoa; Chordata; Mammalia; Perissodactyla; Equidae.